GACGAACGCUGGCGGCGUGCUUAACACAUGCAAGUCGAACGGACAGGCCCUGCUUUUGUGGGGUGCUUGAGUGGCGAACGGGUGAGUAACACGUGAGUAACCUGCCCUUGACUUUGGGAUAACUUCAGGAGACUGGGGCUAAUACCGGAUAGGAGAUCCUGCAGCAUGUGGGGGGUAGGAAAGUGUCGGUGGUUGGGGCUGGAAUCGCGGCUUAUCAGCUUGUUGGUGGGGUAGUGGAUGACAAAGGCUUUGACGGGUAGCCUGCCUGGGAGGGUGGCCGGCCACAAUGGGCCUGCGGUACGGCCCAGACUCCUACGUGAGGCAGCAGUGGGGAACAUUGCACAAUGAGCGGAAGCCUGAUGCAGCAACGCCGCGUGCGUGAUGACGGCUUUCUGGUGGUAAACCGCUUUCGACGGUGACGAAGCGUUAGUGACGGUAAUGGGUAAAGAAGCACCGGCUAACUACGUG
RNAcentral lists this ribosomal RNA (468 nucleotides) under uncultured bacterium. RNAcentral's name for it is "partial 16S ribosomal RNA". It matches the Rfam family "Bacterial small subunit ribosomal RNA", at positions 28 to 507 of the family's 1533-position model. The record is from RNAcentral.